Molecule: unclassified non-coding RNA, 334 nt
Filed under: soil metagenome
Description: partial contains 5.8S ribosomal RNA, internal transcribed spacer 2, and large subunit ribosomal RNA
Rfam family: 5.8S ribosomal RNA (bases 1-120)
Source: RNAcentral
GAUGAAGAACGCAGCGAAAUGCGAUACGUAAUGUGAAUUGCAGAAUUCAGUGAAUCAUCGAGUCUUUGAACGCACAUUGCGCCUGCCAGCACUCUGGCAGGCAUGCCUGUUCGAGCGUCAUUUCAACCAUCAAGCCCUAGGCUUGCGUUGGAGCCCUGCGGCUGCCGCAGGCCCCUAAAAGCAGUGGCGGGCUCGCUAUCACACCGAGUGCAGUAGAUUACUCUUCGCUCAGGGCGUGUGGCGGGUUCCAGCCGUGAAACCCCCUACUUCUCAAGGUUGACCUCGGAUCAGGUAGGAAUACCCGCUGAACUUAAGCAUAUCAAUAAGCGGAGGA